CCUACGGGAGGCAGCAGUGGGGAAUAUUGGACAAUGGGCGAAAGCCUGAUCCAGCAAUGCCGCGUGAGUGAUGAAGGCCUUAGGGUUGUAAAGCUCUUUUACCCGGGAUGAUAAUGACAGUACCGGGAGAAUAAGCCCCGGCUAACUCCGUGCCAGCAGCCGCGGUAAUACGGAGGGGGCUAGCGUUGUUCGGAAUUACUGGGCGUAAAGCGCACGUAGGCGGCUUUGUAAGUCAGAGGUGAAAGCCUGGAGCUCAACUCCAGAACUGCCUUUGAGACUGCAUCGCUUGAAUCCGGGAGAGGUGAGUGGAAUUCCGAGUGUAGAGGUGAAAUUCGUAGAUAUUCGGAAGAACACCAGUGGCGAAGGCGGCUCACUGGACCGGUAUUGACGCUGAGGUGCGAAAGCGUGGGGAGCAAACAGGAUUAGAUACCCCGGUAGUC
This 440-nucleotide ribosomal RNA is filed under the name uncultured bacterium. RNAcentral's name for it is "bacterial SSU rRNA". It matches the Rfam family "Bacterial small subunit ribosomal RNA", at positions 338 to 795 of the family's 1533-position model. The record is from RNAcentral.